GGGACCCUUACUGCUGUGUUUGCUGUACCAGCAUAUGAGAAACCUGUAGACUCUCUUUUAGAUUUGCCAAGAGCUGUUGAAGGAGGAUUUACUCUUACAGUAACAAAGGACUCUACCCACGAAUACCUGUUUAAGGAAGCCAAGGAAGGAAUCUACAAAAGGGUCUGGGAGUUAUUCAAUCACAAAGACCGUUCCAAGAGUUUUGUCAGCAGCCCAGCAGUGGGGCUUAACCUGGUUCUUGAAAAAAAAGUCAUCCAUAUUUGCUUGGAAGAUGUGGCUAAGGUGGUGGGAGCUGGUCUUGGUAGGAACAAGUUUCAUUUUAGCCGAGAACUUUUCUUCCCACAAAAUGUUGUCUUUGUUGUUCCUCCUGGAGCGCCUUAUAAGGAAUCCUUCAACCGUGUGAUGCAGAAACUAAUUGAAGGAGGGUUCAUCGACAAAUGGGAAUAUGACGAAAUAAAGAAAAUCUCUCAGAAGUCAUCAGGAGGAGGACGAGAAUCCAGAAGUCAAGUCAUUUCCCUUGGACAUCUUCAGAAUAUAUUGCCCCAGAGGUGGUUGUGACCUUUCAUAGUCCAAGAGAAGAAAUGCUGCAAGAAGUUCACAACCUUAAUACCUACAUUGAUCUACAGGGUAAUCAUCGCCACAUAAUAAAAAGUACAUUAAUUGUACAAGUCUCAUUUAAAAAAAAAAAAAAA
Molecule: RNA transcript, 692 nt
Organism: Macrobrachium nipponense
Lineage: Eukaryota; Metazoa; Arthropoda; Malacostraca; Decapoda; Palaemonidae
Exons: 5
Source: RefSeq, a predicted model, not a curated record